GUCCCUUCGGGGACUUCCGAUAAAAUUGGAACGAUACAGAGAAGAUUAGCAUGGCCCCUGUUCAUGAACCCUAUCCAAGCGAGUACAUGUAAAAGUCAUUU
Small nuclear RNA from Gastrolobium bilobum, 101 nucleotides. The record is from RefSeq and is a predicted model, not a curated record. Lineage: Eukaryota; Viridiplantae; Streptophyta; Magnoliopsida; Fabales; Fabaceae.